Molecule: ribosomal RNA, 254 nt
Filed under: uncultured bacterium
Lineage: Bacteria
Description: partial 16S ribosomal RNA
Rfam family: Bacterial small subunit ribosomal RNA
Source: RNAcentral
UACGUAGGUGGCAAGCGUUGUCCGGAUUUAUUGGGCGUAAAGAGCUCGUAGGCGGUUCGGUAAGUCGGGUGUGAAACCUCCAGGCUCAACCUGGAGACGCCACCUGAUACUGCUGUGACUCGAGUCCGGUAGGGGAGCGUGGAAUUCCUGGUGUAGCGGUGAAAUGCGCAGAUAUCAGGAGGAACACCAGCGGCGAAGGCGGGUAGCUGGGCCAACACUGACGCUGAUGCGCGAAAGCUAGGGUAGCAAACGGG